UAGGGAAUCUUCCGCAAUGGACGCAAGUCUGACGGAGCAACGCCGCGUGAGUGAAGAAGGAUUUCUGUUCGUAAAACUCUGUUGUUAGAGAAGAACAGCGCAUAGAGUAACUGUUAUGCGUGUGACGGUAUCUAACCAGAAAGCCACGGCUAACUACGUGCCAGCAGCCGCGGUAAUACGUAGGUGGCAAGCGUUGUCCGGAUUUAUUGGGCGUAAAGCGAGCGCAGGCGGUCAAUUAAGUCUGAUGUGAAAGCCCCCGGCUCAACCGGGGAGGGUCAUUGGAAACUGGUUGACUUGAGUGCAGAAGAGGAGAGUGGAAUUCCAUGUGUAGCGGUGAAAUGCGUAGAUAUAUGGAGGAACACCAGUGGCGAAGGCGACUCUCUGGUCUGUAACUGACGCUGAGGUUCGAAAGCGUGGGUAGCAAACAGG
This 429-nucleotide ribosomal RNA is filed under the name Bacteroidota bacterium. RNAcentral's name for it is "Bacteroidetes bacterium partial 16S ribosomal RNA". It matches the Rfam family "Bacterial small subunit ribosomal RNA", at positions 355 to 776 of the family's 1533-position model. Lineage: Bacteria; Pseudomonadati; Bacteroidota. The record is from RNAcentral.